AAGCGGUGGAGCAUGCGGUUUAAUUCGAAGCAACGCGAAGAACCUUACCAGGUCUUGACAUCCCUGACACCCAAGAGAUUGGGCGUUCCCCCUUCGGGGGACAGGGUGACAGGUGGUGCAUGGUUGUCGUCAGCUCGUGUCGUGAGAUGUUGGGUUAAGUCCCGCAACGAGCGCAACCCUCGCCUCUAGUUGCCAGCAUUAAGUUGGGGACUCAUACGAGACUGCCGGCGUCAAGCCGGAGGAAGGUGGGGACGACGUCAAGUCAUCAUGCCCCUUAUGUCCUGGGCUGCACACGUGCUACAAUGGUCGGUACAAUGGGCUGCGAUGCCGCGAGGCGGAGCGAAUCCCAUAAAACCGGCCCCAGUUCGGAUCGGAGGCUGCAACUCGCCUCCGUGAAGUCGGAGUUGCUAGUAAUCGCGGAUCAGCACGCCGCGGUGAAUACGUUCCCGGGCCUU
RNAcentral lists this ribosomal RNA (455 nucleotides) under uncultured Coriobacteriaceae bacterium. RNAcentral describes it as "bacterial SSU rRNA". It matches the Rfam family "Bacterial small subunit ribosomal RNA", at positions 927 to 1382 of the family's 1533-position model. Lineage: Bacteria; Bacillati; Actinomycetota; Coriobacteriia; Coriobacteriales; Coriobacteriaceae. The record is from RNAcentral.